AUUUUUUCAGUGAUCAGGGACAGGUGUUUGAUUUUCUAAGGCAGCUCGGUGAUCUCCCUCAUCGGCCUCUCAUCUGGCGCUGGCGGAUCGAAUUGGAUCGGCACCACUGGGAUGACCUGACUCGGGGCCUUCGAACUUGGGGAUAGGCACCGGAAGUAAUCCAUGUUGAAGAUGCUCUUCUGAUCAGGAUGGGGCUGUGCCUCCUCGAGAAGAUCUUGUCGCCCUCAUUGAAAUCAAGAUAGCCAUGGACAGGAAUCAACUCCCACUCAUAAAGAUCCAUUUCGGGGUAAGGGACGUGUUGUGGGAGAGAAGGUUAAAAUAAGAAGCGUCUGCUCCUUUUUGGGGGUUGAAAUUUCUCUUGGUGACCCUUUGAAUUGUUGAAUCAAAGGGAGGAGAAGGACGUGGGUUUGGGCUAUAUCAUGGAGUGUGAUGUGGAAUUUGAGUGAGAGGAAGCCUCCCCAAGAUGGCGGUGUACUCUUGCACCUGGGAGUGAAAGAUUGAAAACCAAUUGGCCGAAAGGGAGGGAGGCUGAUGACG
This 537-nucleotide long non-coding RNA is filed under the name Eucalyptus grandis. RNAcentral's name for it is "long non-coding RNA (EGRA_LNC000291)". Lineage: Eukaryota; Viridiplantae; Streptophyta; Magnoliopsida; Myrtales; Myrtaceae. The record is from RNAcentral.